UGCAUCUGGGGCCUGCGAGGAUGAGAACCUCCGGGGGCAGGAGGUUCGACUCGAGCGAAGCGAGAGAACGUUGCGUCAGCAACGGCCCGCAG
This 92-nucleotide small RNA is filed under the name Klebsiella pneumoniae. Its description in RNAcentral is "partial RtT sRNA". It matches the Rfam family "RtT RNA", at positions 1 to 89 of the family's 130-position model. Rfam says of the family: This family represents a bacterial cis-regulatory element known as RtT RNA. The exact function of RtT is unknown although it is thought that it may be involved in changing the cellular response in relation to amino acid starvation. Lineage: Bacteria; Pseudomonadati; Pseudomonadota; Gammaproteobacteria; Enterobacterales; Enterobacteriaceae. The record is from RNAcentral.